GACGAACGCUGGCGGCGUGCUUAACACAUGCCAGUCGAACGGAAAGGCCCUGCUUUUGUGGGGUGCUCGAGUGGCGAACGGGUGAGUAACACGUGAGUAACCUGCCCUUGACUUUGGGAUAACUUCAGGAAACUGGGGCUAAUACCGGAUAGGAGCUCCUGCUGCAUGGUGGGGGUUGGAAAGUUUCGGCGGUUGGGGAUGGACUCGCGGCUUAUCAGCUUGUUGGUGGGGUAGUGGCUUACCAAGGCUUUGACGGGUAGCCGGCCUGAGAGGGUGACCGGCAACAGUGGGACUGAGAGACGGCCCAGACUCCUACGGGAGGCAGCAGUGGGGAAGAUGGCACAAUGGGCGGAAGCCUGAUGCAGCAACGCCGCGUGCGGGAUGACGGCCUGCGGGUUGUAAACCGCUUUCGCCUGUGACGAAGCGUGAGUGACGGUAAUGGGUAAAGAAGAACCGGCUAACUACGUG
RNAcentral lists this ribosomal RNA (468 nucleotides) under uncultured bacterium. RNAcentral describes it as "partial 16S ribosomal RNA". It matches the Rfam family "Bacterial small subunit ribosomal RNA", at positions 28 to 507 of the family's 1533-position model. The record is from RNAcentral.